AGACCAGGGGUCACCAACGUGGUGCCCGCGGGCACCAGGUAGCCCCCACGACCACAUGAGGUGCCCGCAAGCCUGCUUUUCAUUCAGGUUUUCAGUUAAUAAUGAAAGAACAGUAGAAAGAAAUGCAUUGUGAAAUACAACAUGUGAGUUGUGGACACCAGCAUUUUGUUCAUGUUCUGGUAAAACAAGCAUAUUCGCUUUGUUUGGGUUUAAAAUAAGCUCUGAAAAUAAAUGUUACAAAAAUGAGUAGCCCUUGGCCAUUUUCAUUUUGUAAAAGUAGCUCUCACAAGGAAAAACGUUGGUGACCCCUGGUCUAGACUAUGUAGACCAUGUAGACUGUGGUACCGUGUAGCCCAUGUGGCCCACAUUCCGGCAGGCCUCGUCUUCAAAGGGAUGGUGGUGAUGAGAACGGUCAUCUUGCUAGACGAGUGCAUCCUGCUAAUGAGUCUGAGUUCUCACCAACCGGUACGUCCAUCUGAAGACUUUCUGUCCUCUGGGUCCACCUGCUUGAAAGAAGAAGAGAAGCCGAGGUUCACUCUGGGACUGUGGAUUGUCUUUCUCCGAGGUUUGGUCCACUUAGCCUGUUAUUGAUCUACCUUUGAUUCCUCAGCGUUGCUGCUCAUCUUGUGACAUAUCAGCCACUUCAAGCAGCUUUGGUCUUACAGCAGCUCCUCGUACAGAAGUCAGUGUUUUCUCUUAUCAAUAGGAAUCUGUUUUAGUGUAGUCUACUUUAUUCCUCUCGCUCUCACUGAGAAUAUUAUUUUCAUAUACGUCAGCAUGUUCCAAAUCUUUCAUCUUUUGAGCAAAGCAAUGCACUGCUUCACAGGUGAAUAUUGGUGCGGUGUAAGUCCUGCACUGUACCAUGCUCCUGUGCAGAGCAGCCUUGCCAAUAUGGAAGUUUUACAUAACAUAGAACGACGUGUGCACGGCCCAGGUGGGGGCGUAUAUCUCUUGCUACAACUAACUCAGCAAACUAGCUCAGUAAGAAGACAUUGAUGGGCUCAAAACCUUUCAUAAAGCAAACAGUUAGUAAAAGACUUCUUUUCCAGGCACAUCCUUUCUUGUUUGGAUGAAAAAGAAGUCGACAUGUAUUCUUCCUUUAUGCUGUGGCUUCCCUUUCUAAGGAAGUCCCGCCUUCCUGUGGGGUCUGAUUGGACAUCGCUCCCCUGAAUGUCUUUAUUGAAGUACUUGGGCUUACAGUAUUUAGUAUGCAAUACUUCAAUAUUUGAUUUAGCUUUAAAAUCUGACUAGUCUGUUAAUUUCAGAUAAUAAUGUCAGCCUCUCACCACACGCCAGCUUAGAAGGGAAAUCAAAGCAAAAGAAAAAUAUAUUCUUGAGGUUUUGGCUGACUCUGGGGCCCAACAAAAUAGUGUCAUCAUCCACAUCAUGUCAUAAUGAGAGCACUGGGAGUCAGAGGGGCUGCUUGGAGUGAGAUGCUGGAUAAAGCCUUUGUUUCAUGUCGGCUAAUACCAGCUGCAGUAUUUUCCAACUCUUCUUUUACUCUUUGAUGCCGUGUCACAAGUCUCCAUCUUCAAAGUAUGGACACCACGCCACCAGAAGAGUUGCAUCCAGUGCAGGUUGUGAACGUGAUGCUGAUACCAGCUGGAUGUGUCGUCAUCUCUCCAUACAAACGGCCAUGGAUUCUGAUCAACAACAGAAGAGUGUUUUUCUGAACUGGUUUCUGAGUGGGGCUCCAAAGCCACAAGCACACGGGCACAGGAGCAUCCAUUCAUGCCUUCAUCCUAAGCUGGAACCUAUCCCAGCCAACAAAGGGUGACGGUUUGUGUUCUCACUGAGCAGCGGUGGGUGCUGCUGAGAGGUUCGGGCCGCCCCACACCAGUCCCAAGCGGUCAGUGCACAGCCAGCUCCCGCAGCACGCAUCCAAAGUGCAAAUGAAUCACGCUUGCGAUGUACGGGCGCGAUGCCACCGGGGUGGCUGUAGAGCGGGACCUCAAACGUAAAUGUUUCCUAAUCUUCAUGAAGAGACACUCGAGCCUGAUUGGGACUCGCUCACUUGCCUGCCAGUAUGUCCGAAUGUGAUUGGUCAACACUGAAGUGAUGUGCAGAUCCAUUCUGAGAUAUUGAUACUUCUGAUACCAGCUCUUCAUAUGUCGAUACUUUGGGUACUUCAGCCAUUCAAGGUAGUAUUUGUCUGAAAGGUGUGUUCGUUGAAAGGAUGAGCGAUGGUAAACGCAGCCAUGUGUGAAGUGUGACUAAAGUUUUCACUCUUAUUGUCGUUCUUAAUAAUGAAUCAUUUAUUUCCAUGCUUUUAUUUACAGUCAAACCUGUCUAUAGCGGCCACUAAAGGGAAACGGCAAAAGUGGCCGCUAUAGACAGGUGGCCGUUAUAGACAGGUUGGUGGCCAUUUUGAAU
Dunckerocampus dactyliophorus (ringed pipefish) is the source of this 2373-nucleotide long non-coding RNA. RefSeq lists it as uncharacterized. The transcript has 4 exons. The record is from RefSeq and is a predicted model, not a curated record. Lineage: Eukaryota; Metazoa; Chordata; Actinopteri; Syngnathiformes; Syngnathidae.